GACGAACGCUGGCGGCGUGCUUAACACAUGCAAGUCGAACGGAAAGGCCCUGCUUUUGUGGGGUGCUCGAGUGGCGAACGGGUGAGUAACACGUGAGUAACCUGCCCUUGACUUUGGGAUAACUUCAGGAAACUGGGGCUAAUACCGGAUAGGAGCUCCUGCUGCAUGGUGGGGGUUGGAAAGUUUCGGCGGUUGGGGAUGGACUCGCGGCUUAUCAGCUUGUUGGUGGGGUAGUGGCUUACCAAGGCUUUGACGGGUAGCCGGCCUGGGAGGGUGACCGGCGACAUUGCGACUGAGAUACGGCCCAGACUCCUACGGGAGGCAGCAGUGGGGAAUAUUGCACAAUGGGCGGAAGCCUGAUGCAGCAACGCCGCGUGCGGGAUGACGGCCUUCGGGUUGUAAACCGCUUUCGCCUGUGACGAAGCGUUAGUGACGGUAAUGGGUAAAGAAGCACCGGCUAACUACGUG
This 468-nucleotide ribosomal RNA is filed under the name uncultured bacterium. RNAcentral's name for it is "partial 16S ribosomal RNA". It matches the Rfam family "Bacterial small subunit ribosomal RNA", at positions 28 to 507 of the family's 1533-position model. The record is from RNAcentral.